This 1815-nucleotide unclassified non-coding RNA is filed under the name Eurytemora carolleeae. RNAcentral's name for it is "gamma-interferon-inducible lysosomal thiol reductase". The record is from RNAcentral. Lineage: Eukaryota; Metazoa; Arthropoda; Copepoda; Calanoida; Temoridae.
CCCCCUGAAAACGAUAGAUUUCACUGGUCCAGGGAGUGGGCUUAGCCCCCAUAGCACCCCCCCUGAAUACGCCUCUGAUGUCGUUAUUCAUUUUCACAUGAGUAUAUAGUAUAACUAAUCAUAUCCUAGCUCGUAUUCAUGAAAUUAUUCAUUAAUUCCGGGUUUAUCAGAACCCAUUGUUUAAUCGUUUUCAAAAUAUUUUAGAUUUUUUUUUUCAAAAAAAAUCCUCAUAUAUUUCAUGGGUCUGUACUCUGUAUGUUAAAGGUUGAAUUUAUUCCAGAAGAAUGCUGGAUGUCCGGUUGAAGAUGUCAAAUAUUUAUAAAUUUAUUCUACUCUUCCUUUUCAUGGUGUCCAUCAUUUAUCUCUACAAAUCAUCUUUUAUAAAAAUUAAAGUUACAGAUAAAUUGGAAGCUCAAGAAAAAGAAUCUGUCCGUGUAGAUGUUUAUUAUGAAUGUUUGUGCCCAGACAGCAGACAUUUUGUUGUUCACCAGUUGUUCCCAGCUUGGAGUUUGCUAAAGGAGAUUAUGGAGGUUAACCUCAUCCCCUACGGGAAAGCCAGUUCAAAGAAAUCUGGAGAUCUGUACGAGUUUCAAUGUCAGCAUGGUCCGGUAGAGUGCACCGGAAAUACAUAUCAUGCCUGUGUGGCCAAAACUUCAAAACCGGAAAUUAGUUUAUUAUAUGUAAAAUGUAUGAUAGAAAACAACCUAAAUCCGUCUAGUAUAGCAGAAAAAUGCGCGGGAGAACUUGCUGUCCCAUUCUCUGAGAUAGAUACGUGUGCCAAGGGACGUGAAGGAAAUAUGCUGAGUUUCAUGAUGGGAGAACUUACACACUCAUUAAGUCCGUCAGUUACAUUUAUUCCUACAGUAGAAAUAGAAACAAGUCAGAAGAGGUUUCGAGACUCUUUAAAGAAUCUGUCCCUUCAAGUAUGUUUGGAGUACAAGGAGAAGUACAUGAAAACAUUCCCAGCUUGUAGAGAACUACUUCAGUAGUCUACAUUAGUUCUGAUUGCUGUACACCGUACAGAAACAUAUGUUGUACUGUACUGUACUGAACACUCUACAGAAACUCUCAUGCUGUACACUUACUGUUUUACUUCUAAACCAUCAAUUGUACAACAAAUACAGAAAUUUUUUUUAAAAAAUUAUUCAGUUCGGAAUUUGAUAUAUCACCUCUUUUUACUCUUUACAUGUUCACUGCAUUUAGAUCAGAUAGUUUUCACAUUUGUUGCUUACUGCGAAAUUUCCAGUUUCAUAAUAUCAGAAAUCUAGGCAGCAUAUAGUUCUAGUUCUAGCCGUUUUUUUUUAAAUUAAGAAGUUACCAUAGCAUUUUCACAAUAAAAACAAAUAAAUCUCUUUUAGCAAAAGAUAAAGUUGAAUAGUAAUGCUAAUCGCAGUUUUCAAAUAAAGGGUUCUCUAAAAUCAUAAUUAAAGGCAUUUAUCUAAAUUAAAAACAUCAAUACUGCAUUUUUACUGUGUCGAGCAUUUCAAAAGUAAUGUUAUUUCUGAAAAAAAAGAGGGGAAUGGGAAAUUUUUCAUCCUUUUUUAGUACCCCCUACACAAGCACUUUUUUAUAUAUACAAGUACUGCCAUUUAUUUUAAGAUAAAAUUAAACUUUCUUUUUGUUGGACGAAUUUGCUGCAAUUUUUAUAAGAGCUUUAGUUUUAUAAUUGUUUAAAAUGAAUAAAUUUAUGAAAUUUUUUUUAACAAUUUGCAGUUGUAAUGUUUAUGUAUACACAUUUAUGUGAUUGAAUGUCAGAGCUAUCAGAGCUAGAAGAGAAUGCAUUUCGAAUUUUCACAAUAAAAGAUUAAUACUGAA